GAUGUGACGGCUGGAGCUCCCAGAGCUACCCUGGACCAUGAUGUGGCUUGGAGGCUGGGACUCACACAGGACUGAGCAACACGACAUUAACACAUGUGAUGCAGGAAGAGGCUCGAAGAGAGCUUGUCCUUUUAGUUCCUGGAAUCCCAACACCACAGGAAAGAAGCCAGCCUGUUGGAUGAGACUCAUAUGGUCCAGUCACCCGGGAUGCCUUCGCUGACAACAGGCCAAGUGCCUAACAGAUGAAGCCAUCUAACAUCAGAAAAACUGCCCACCCAAAUCAUGAGCUAAAUAAAUGUUUUAGGCCA
Molecule: long non-coding RNA, 308 nt
Organism: Neofelis nebulosa (Clouded leopard)
Lineage: Eukaryota; Metazoa; Chordata; Mammalia; Carnivora; Felidae
Exons: 2
Source: RefSeq, a predicted model, not a curated record